RNAcentral lists this ribosomal RNA (330 nucleotides) under Triticum aestivum (bread wheat). RNAcentral describes it as "partial small subunit ribosomal RNA". The record is from RNAcentral. Lineage: Eukaryota; Viridiplantae; Streptophyta; Magnoliopsida; Poales; Poaceae.
AUGAUGUGGACGGAGCAGGUGACUGACGCCGGGAAGGAGGGCUUUGCCGGAGCCUACAGCGACAACGGCAUGGGCGGAGGAGUUCCCACGGGGGACGAGUCGACCUCGCGGUUGACGCAGCUCACCUGGCCGUCGUGUGCUCGCCGCCGCGCGUGCUGGCUUCCGUGGGCCUGGGAGGCCGCCGCACGUGCUGGCCUCUGCGAGUGCGCUGGCAGCCGCAAACUGGCCUUCGGGUGCUGGCCGAGUAUGCUAACUGGCCUCUGCGUGCUAGCCAUGGCUAAACUGGCCUUCACGCCCGCUGCCGUUGUUGCUAUUUUGCACGGGCAGUAG